RNAcentral lists this ribosomal RNA (1550 nucleotides) under Klebsiella pneumoniae. RNAcentral's name for it is "bacterial SSU rRNA". It matches the Rfam family "Bacterial small subunit ribosomal RNA". The record is from RNAcentral. Lineage: Bacteria; Pseudomonadati; Pseudomonadota; Gammaproteobacteria; Enterobacterales; Enterobacteriaceae.
AAAUUGAAGAGUUUGAUCAUGGCUCAGAUUGAACGCUGGCGGCAGGCCUAACACAUGCAAGUCGAGCGGUAGCACAGAGAGCUUGCUCUCGGGUGACGAGCGGCGGACGGGUGAGUAAUGUCUGGGAAACUGCCUGAUGGAGGGGGAUAACUACUGGAAACGGUAGCUAAUACCGCAUAAUGUCGCAAGACCAAAGUGGGGGACCUUCGGGCCUCAUGCCAUCAGAUGUGCCCAGAUGGGAUUAGCUAGUAGGUGGGGUAACGGCUCACCUAGGCGACGAUCCCUAGCUGGUCUGAGAGGAUGACCAGCCACACUGGAACUGAGACACGGUCCAGACUCCUACGGGAGGCAGCAGUGGGGAAUAUUGCACAAUGGGCGCAAGCCUGAUGCAGCCAUGCCGCGUGUGUGAAGAAGGCCUUCGGGUUGUAAAGCACUUUCAGCGGGGAGGAAGGCGUUAAGGUUAAUAACCUUGUCGAUUGACGUUACCCGCAGAAGAAGCACCGGCUAACUCCGUGCCAGCAGCCGCGGUAAUACGGAGGGUGCAAGCGUUAAUCGGAAUUACUGGGCGUAAAGCGCACGCAGGCGGUCUGUCAAGUCGGAUGUGAAAUCCCCGGGCUCAACCUGGGAACUGCAUUCGAAACUGGCAGGCUAGAGUCUUGUAGAGGGGGGUAGAAUUCCAGGUGUAGCGGUGAAAUGCGUAGAGAUCUGGAGGAAUACCGGUGGCGAAGGCGGCCCCCUGGACAAAGACUGACGCUCAGGUGCGAAAGCGUGGGGAGCAAACAGGAUUAGAUACCCUGGUAGUCCACGCCGUAAACGAUGUCGAUUUGGAGGUUGUGCCCUUGAGGCGUGGCUUCCGGAGCUAACGCGUUAAAUCGACCGCCUGGGGAGUACGGCCGCAAGGUUAAAACUCAAAUGAAUUGACGGGGGCCCGCACAAGCGGUGGAGCAUGUGGUUUAAUUCGAUGCAACGCGAAGAACCUUACCUGGUCUUGACAUCCACAGAACUUAGCAGAGAUGCUUUGGUGCCUUCGGGAACUGUGAGACAGGUGCUGCAUGGCUGUCGUCAGCUCGUGUUGUGAAAUGUUGGGUUAAGUCCCGCAACGAGCGCAACCCUUAUCCUUUGUUGCCAGCGGUUAGGCCGGGAACUCAAAGGAGACUGCCAGUGAUAAACUGGAGGAAGGUGGGGAUGACGUCAAGUCAUCAUGGCCCUUACGACCAGGGCUACACACGUGCUACAAUGGCAUAUACAAAGAGAAGCGACCUCGCGAGAGCAAGCGGACCUCAUAAAGUAUGUCGUAGUCCGGAUUGGAGUCUGCAACUCGACUCCAUGAAGUCGGAAUCGCUAGUAAUCGUAGAUCAGAAUGCUACGGUGAAUACGUUCCCGGGCCUUGUACACACCGCCCGUCACACCAUGGGAGUGGGUUGCAAAAGAAGUAGGUAGCUUAACCUUCGGGAGGGCGCUUACCACUUUGUGAUUCAUGACUGGGGUGAAGUCGUAACAAGGUAACCGUAGGGGAACCUGCGGUUGGAUCACCUCCUUACCUUAAAGAA